This 496-nucleotide ribosomal RNA is filed under the name uncultured bacterium. RNAcentral's name for it is "partial 16S ribosomal RNA". It matches the Rfam family "Bacterial small subunit ribosomal RNA", at positions 28 to 506 of the family's 1533-position model. The record is from RNAcentral.
GAUGAACGCUGGCGGCGUGCCUAAUACAUGCAAGUCGAGCGAACGGACGAGAAGCUUGCUUCUCUGAUGUUAGCGGCGGACGGGUGAGUAACACGUGGAUAACCUACCUAUAAGACUGGGAUAACUUCGGGAAACCGUAGCUAAUACCGGAUAAUAUUUUGAACCGCAUGGUUCAAAAGUGAAAGACGGUCUUGCUGUCACUUAUAGAUGGAUCCGCGCUGCAUUAGCUAGUUGGUAAGGUAACGGCUUACCAAGGCAACGAUGCAUAGCCGACCUGAGAGGGUGAUCGGCCACACUGGAGCUGAGACACGGUCCAGACUCCUACGGGAGGCAGCAGUAGGGAAUCUUCCGCAAUGGGCGAAAGCCUGACGGAGCAACGCCGCGUGAGUGAUGAAGGUCUUCGGAUCGUAAAACUCUGUUAUUAGGGAAGAACAUAUGUGUAAGUAACUGUGCACAUCUUGACGGUACCUAAUCAGAAAGCCACGGCUAACUACGU